CAUGGUUCAGUAUGUUGCUUGAGAAACUGACUGAAAAUUUGGAAGGUACAGGAGCAUAACAGAAGAGAAUAUAUGAAGUUGGGUUCAUAUGUUAACUGGAGACCUUCUGCUGUCAUCCAGUGGCUUUUGGAAUACAGAACGUAGAGACCUAUAGCCACAUGAAAUACAGUAUUGCGACAAAGGCUUGCAGAAGAGCCAGCCAAGGUCCCUCUACUCCCAACACCACGAUCACAGUGUUUCUUUCUGAACAUGAAUCUAAAGCUGUCGUUGCCCUGCCCAGCUCUUCACCAGUCAAGACUCAAGGCCCUUAAGCAAAGUGGAGCUCCAUAACUUGGUUUCUGGGGAUGACUCUGACCAGAUCCCAUUUGAUUCUGGUCCAGUUAUGAUUUAUGUCCUCUGGAGACAGCAGUGAAGAAGGGCCCUGUCAAAGUAAAAAUAGGUAAGUGCAGACACACAUGCAGACAUACAGUAUCUUCCAUGCAUCUUCAGAGGGUGUACGGCCUUCAAGAGUAUAAGCUGUGACUCCCAACAGAUUUGAGCAAUCAUAGGAUGCAGAGAGGUCUAUCA
Molecule: long non-coding RNA, 567 nt
Organism: Arvicola amphibius (Eurasian water vole)
Lineage: Eukaryota; Metazoa; Chordata; Mammalia; Rodentia; Cricetidae
Exons: 3
Source: RefSeq, a predicted model, not a curated record